Molecule: ribosomal RNA, 497 nt
Filed under: uncultured bacterium
Lineage: Bacteria
Description: partial 16S ribosomal RNA
Rfam family: Bacterial small subunit ribosomal RNA
Source: RNAcentral
GAUGAACGCUGGCGGCGUGCCUAAUACAUGCAAGUCGAGCGAACAGACGAGGAGCUUGCUCCUCUGACGUUAGCGGCGGACGGGUGAGUAACACGUGGAUAACCUACCUAUAAGACUGGGAUAACUUCGGGAAACCGGAGCUAAUACCGGAUAAUAUAUUGAACCGCAUGGUUCAAUAGUGAAAGACGGUUUUGCUGUCACUUAUAGAUGGAUCCGCGCCGCAUUAGCUAGUUGGUAAGGUAACGGCUUACCAAGGCAACGAUGCGUAGCCGACCUGAGAGGGUGAUCGGCCACACUGGAACUGAGACACGGUCCAGACUCCUACGGGAGGCAGCAGUAGGGAAUCUUCCUCAAUGGGCGAAAGCUUGACGGAGCAACGCCGCGUGAGUGAUGAAGGUCUUCGGAUCGUAAAACUCUGUUAUUAGGGAAGAACAAAUGUGUAAGUAACUAUGCACGUCUUGACGGUACCUAAUCAGAAAGCCACGGCUAACUACGUG